GGGAGAUACUACUGUGAACAAGACAGACAAGGUCCCGGCUUGAAAGAGCUGAACUUGACUGAAAGGCGGGUGGUGACUGAGGCCUCGCGGAUGCAGCGGCUCCCUGCCAGGAUCCCUCUCCAGUUCAGUUUCCCAGGAGCCAGGGAGGGAGCUCGCCUGCUGCACAGCAUGGUCAGGGAAACUUGUGAGGACAUGGAGGCACCGAGACAUUAAGUAACUUGAAGGCCACACAGCUAAGCAGCCAGAGUUCCAAUCCAGGCUACAGAAUGUCAGAGCCUGCAUUCUUAACCACCAGGAAACACAUGGCUUUAGACUUUUACCACAGACACGUGCUCCCAAUGUGCAAACCAGCCAACCCACAAAAACUGCUUUGCAUUUUUAAGCAAUUGCAUUGAAACUCACAGAGUGUUCCAGUGCUCUAGGAGCCCCACUGACCCAUCCCAGGCUGGCCAGAUGGGCUCUUUUCAUAACUGUGUGUCUGCGGCAUCUGACCCUGCUCGUAUCUUCUCCUGGAGGACUUUGAGACAAGACUUCAUCUGGGGACACUGAGAGUCCAAUGAAUGGAGACAUUAGGACACCCCCGACUAGAAAAGACAGACGGAUGUGCACACCGUCACCCUCUACCUCAUUCCACCACAGACCCAAGGUGGCGUAUAGGAAGGCGCACACUGCACAGAAAAACAGAAAACUGGAAAUCCUACUCACAGAUUUCAGCAUCCACCCUGAGGGUGUCUGUGUGAAGAGC
Symphalangus syndactylus (siamang) is the source of this 745-nucleotide long non-coding RNA. RefSeq lists it as uncharacterized. The record is from RefSeq and is a predicted model, not a curated record. Lineage: Eukaryota; Metazoa; Chordata; Mammalia; Primates; Hylobatidae.